ACGGACUUCGGUCUGGUGGCGAGUGGCGAACGGGUGAGUAAUGUAUCGGAAGGUGCCCAGUAGCGGGGGAUAACUACGCGAAAGCGUAGCUAAUACCGCAUACGCCCUACGGGGGAAAGCAGGGGAUCGUAAGACCUUGCACUAUUGGAGCGGCCGAUAUCGGAUUAGCUAGUUGGUGGGGUAACGGCUCACCAAGGCGACGAUCCGUAGCUGGUUUGAGAGGACGACCAGCCACACUGGGACUGAGACACGGCCCAGACUCCUACGGGAGGCAGCAGUGGGGAAUUUUGGACAAUGGGGGAAACCCUGAUCCAGCCAUCCCGCGUGUGCGAUGAAGGCCUUCGGGUUGUAAAGCACUUUUGGCAGGAAAGAAACGUCAUGGGUUAAUACCCCGUGAAACUGACGGUACCUGCAGAACAAGCACCGGCUAACUACGUGCCAGCAGCCGCGGUAAUACGUAGGGUGCAAGCGUUAAUCGGAAUUACUGGGCGUAAAGCGUGCGCAGGCGGUUCGGAAAGAAAGAUGUGAAAUCCCAGAGCUUAACUUUGGAACUGCAUUUUUAACUACCGGGCUAGAGUGUGUCAGAGGGAGGUGGAAUUCCGCGUGUAGCAGUGAAAUGCGUAGAUAUGCGGAGGAACACCGAUGGCGAAGGCAGCCUCCUGGGAUAACACUGACGCUCAUGCACGAAAG
This 690-nucleotide ribosomal RNA is filed under the name uncultured bacterium. RNAcentral describes it as "bacterial SSU rRNA". It matches the Rfam family "Bacterial small subunit ribosomal RNA", at positions 73 to 759 of the family's 1533-position model. The record is from RNAcentral.